CCUACGGGAGGCAGCAGUGAGGAAUAUUGGUCAAUGGCCGGAAGGCUGAACCAGCCAUGCCGCGUGAAGGUCAGUGCCCUAUGGGCGUUAAACUUCUUUUAUAAGGGAAGAAUAAUGACUACGUGUAGUCAGAUGCCCGUACCUUAUGAAUAAGCAUCGGCUAACUCCGUGCCAGCAGCCGCGGUAAUACGGAGGAUGCGAGCGUUAUCCGGAUUUAUUGGGUUUAAUGGGUGCGUAGGCGGUAUUUUAAGUUAGUGGUAAACCGUCGGGGCUUCACCUUGAUUGGCCAUUAAAACUGGAGUACUAGAGUACAGACGAGGUAGGCGGAAUAAGUUAAGUAGCGGUGAAAUGCUUAGAUAUAACUUAGAACCCCGAUAGCGAAGGCAGCUUACCAGACUGUUACUGACGCUGAAGCACGAGAGCGUGGGUAGCGAACAGGAUUAGAUACCCCUGUAGUC
RNAcentral lists this ribosomal RNA (458 nucleotides) under uncultured bacterium. Its description in RNAcentral is "partial 16S ribosomal RNA". It matches the Rfam family "Bacterial small subunit ribosomal RNA", at positions 338 to 795 of the family's 1533-position model. The record is from RNAcentral.